Non-coding RNA from Styela clava, 796 nucleotides. The record is from RefSeq and is a predicted model, not a curated record. Lineage: Eukaryota; Metazoa; Chordata; Ascidiacea; Stolidobranchia; Styelidae.
AUGAUCUUUAAUGCAGCAAGUUCAAUAUUAGUGACAGACCCAUUAGUUAUAAUACAUACAAUAAAAUAAACUCUCGGUUUUUAAUGGGCACUUGCGGAACCCUAGAUCACUGCAAACCCCGAUUGAAAACCUCUGCGUUUAAAAGUAGUUGACGAUUACUCAUCUCCAUAAUCUUAAAAUCAAUUUAUUUGCGGAUUCUAUUUUUUCAAUGCGGUAGCUUUUUUAUCAAUAUUCACUUCACUGGUUCUCAAAUUUAACACUUGUCGUUUUAUUUUUUAUACAGACAUUCAUUUCAUGAUGAAAAUAUUGUGGGCAAUUUAUUUGGAGCGUAUAUCAUUCUUAGUUUGCAUCUACACUUUGAUUAGCCAAAGAGUGUGUUUGGGUGUCUUGCGGCAUUGAUCUAGCUCCACUCUGUUAGAUUAGAUCAUUACACAUGUAAGCUGACUGGGUUUAAUUUCAAACUCUGGUGCUGAAACCUUGCCAUGUAUAUGCAGACAUAAAGGCAGUUAAGAGUGAUAAAAUUGAUACUAUAAAUACUAAUAUAUAUAUUUGAUGAAUAAUAUUGAUGAGACUCUCAAUAAUGAAGUGGGGUCGGUCUCCAGUCGAGCGUAUAUUUUUCUCUCUUCGUUGGCUUUCCUUUUUUCGUUGUCGAAACCCCCUGAUGUGAUUUUAUUGGUGUUUUCUGCUGCGCCGUCGACAGCCUUUGAUGACAAUCCACACGCUCAGGGCGCAGAAACCAUUGUGUCCCAGGUUUUAUGCCUGGGACUAUCGUUUUUGGACAAUUAUCCGAUCGCUA